Long non-coding RNA from Parus major (Great Tit), 6784 nucleotides. RefSeq lists it as uncharacterized. The transcript is spliced from 2 exons. The record is from RefSeq and is a predicted model, not a curated record. Lineage: Eukaryota; Metazoa; Chordata; Aves; Passeriformes; Paridae.
GCAGACGCGCGCCUCAGCAGGGCGCCUAUAGAAACAUAGGACCCGAUCCAGGAAAAGUUACUGACAGCCUGGAUGAGGCGAACACAAAUGUUAAUACAGCUAACUUUGUUUCUUUCUUCCCCCGCCCCCCGCACUUCCUUUCACGAUUUUUUUUUUUUAUCCUUUAAGAAAUAGACUGCGAAGAAGUUUAGAUCACGAGGUAAUUAUAAAAACCAAUAUAGAGAUUUUGAAAGAGAGACCCACUUCAUAAUUUUAUAGCGAGGAGCAAAAUAUUCUAGCGAAGUCUGGGGUCGUCACCUGCAAUAGAGCAAUGUUCCCACCCUGUUUAAUAUACAUAGUGUGGGAAAUGGAGGGAAAACAUAGCUAGCACCUGUAGUGCCAAAGGAAAAAAAAAUUAAAUUACUUCAUCAUAUUUUGGGGCUAUUUUGCAGGACAUUCUUCAAAAAUAGACCCAUAUUUAAUUAUAGCUCUAAUAAUUUUUCUCUGUGAGACUGCUAGUUAAUACUAAGAAGGAAAUGGAGUUUCUAUCGAGUUUUUAAAUGUUGGUAUCUUUAAAAAAAUAGUAAUUUUCCUAUGUUAAUAGCUCAUCUGGGACUACAAGUGACCAACCUGGAUCAACUUUUAAUUAACACGCUGACCUGCCGAAGAAGCAAAACUCCCUUAAAAAAAAAAAAAAAAAAAAAAAAAAUAAAGGUGUGUAUAUAAAUACAUCGUCGUGACCCUGGAAACCCCAGGGCUCUCCUUGCCCUUUUUGUAGGGAGGAGGUGAUUUUCCAAAGGCGCGAGGAGAUGCGCAGGUUCGGCCCCCGCCCGCCUCCCCUCCCCGCUCAGGCUGCGGGGCAGCGGCGGCCCCGGGAAGGGGGGAUGCGGUCGGAGCGGGCGGGGCACUAUGACCGGAGCCCCUGAGCAGCGUGUGCGAGGAAAAGGCCGUGGCAGACAGGCGGAGGAUUUGGCUCUAUGGGAGGUGUGGUACAAGCACCAGUGGGGGGGUGGACACAAGCUCACGCGUGGGUGCUCCAAGCUCCAGAGCCUGUUCGGUAGCUCCCCCGCACGAAGCACAAAGAGAGGUCAGCAGCCUGAAGGAUGAACUCCUUUUCUUUCUGCUGUUGCCUCGUCAAUGCUUUGUUUGUCUUGUUUUUUCCCUUCAUGGUUAAAUUAAAUAUGGCUUUAAAUUCAGGUUUUUUUUUCCCAUGCACGUACACACUUCAGGCAGAUUGGCUGCUGGAGACCGCCCCCACCCCCCAAAACUGGCACUGGAGUACGUUACUGCCGAGUUACACUUUAACUUCUCUGCAGAAUACAGAAGAGCUCCAGAAUCUGUUCUUUCAGUCAGAGAUGGAAGUGCACUCACCAGGCACAUGGUUCUGACCUCAGCUGGAGGAGACUUGGCCUGGAGUCAAGCAGUUGCUGCACUUACUGAAACAGCCAAAUGAACUGUCUGCUUUGCCUUAGAUUAAACUUCAUUCACUGAUCCAAGACAGUAAGUGAGACAAUAAUUUGCUACUCUUUGUUUUGUAGCAGAUUCUCAUUCAGAAGAAACCUGCAGUUCAGCAUCAGUUUUUUUACCAGCAGCAACCAUGGUGGCAUUGUAAAAUUGUACCUCCAGUAACUUCAACAAGUAGGAUAAAUAAAUGCAGAUGUAAAAAGAGAAAACUCAUCCUGUUUUUAGUAGCACAGAGGCUAUAUGAGAGCAGAGUACAAAGAUAGUGUCAGGAGUCCAGAUGCAAUCAGAAGGCACCAUUAUUUUGAGUGGUAACUUGUAACAAAUAAAGCGUCAUUUCCUCUGAGCUGAAGACCUCUACAGCACUGCCUUUACCACCACCAGCCUACCUCUUUUCUUCUCUAACAAGCCACAGGCUUGACUGAAGCGUUAGAGAGUAAAUUGCUUAAUGUCUUCUAGAGACCUCAAAUAUGUGAAGUACCCAGUGUGUAAAAGAGAGAGCUUAUUUCAAAUGCAAGCAUAGCAAAACUGACCUGCUGGAGACAAGAGCCUCUGCCUUGUUCCUGCUCACAUGGGGUACUGUGCUUGGACUUCCUAACAAAACAAAUGUAUACUUCCAAGUCCAUCACUUUUAAACCAAUAUACGAAGCAGAAAAACUAAUAUGAUCUUAAUUAAGCAAUGGAAGGGUGACCAUCUGGCUGUUUAGAAAUCACAUUUGACCCAGGUAACAGCAAAUGUUUUCCAUAUCGGAGGAAAAAAUGUAGGCGUGACAUCCACAACUGUCUUAUUAUUGAUAAUGACAAAACAAACAAUUUCAAGAUGUAGUACAAAAGUCAUGUUGAUGGAAAAAUGUAUCUUUCCUACUGUAUGUAUCUCCUAUACAUUAUCAGCCUCCUUGCAGAGCAAGAUUGCUCUUACUGUGGCCAGUAAUAAUAGAAGAGAAUAGGAAAAAAAAAAGGCUUUUCUCAGUGUAUCUGACCAAGUCAAAGAUCUGGUAUUCAUGUCAAUAAAGCUUUACUAUUGCUUGUGAUGAUAAUCUUGUAUUAUCCCACCCCUGAGGUGGCUAUAACUCAUCGUGAAUGAAUAGAUCAUUAUAUAAAAGUAUGUUCCUACUUUGAUGUGCAGUAAUCUGACUGUAUCUGUAUGUGAUGCGAAAGGCCCCCAAACAACAGUAGGGGUGGUCACAAUAAAUCAUUUGAGUAUAAAUUUAGCACUCAUUGCAAUAGCACUGCAAUAUUUCAUAGACACAUGUUCCAAGGGAAGAGGUUUGUUCAUAAAUACACCGAUGAUAAGUGACUUGGACACUCCCAGUAUGAGUUUAGGCAGAUGAGUAAAAGGAAAGUUUAUUCUGAUUUUCUGUGUAGGAGGGUGUGUUUUCCACUAGCAGUGUCUGGUUCAUCCUUGUCAUGUGUUCACAAACUCCACACCCACUCACCCAUAUCCCCAGUACAUAGGAAAAGAAAGGCAGAGUUGUCUGGGUAAGUAAAUUUAGGAAGAGGAAGAUAUUCUGGACCUGCUGUGUGGCCUCACCCGUGGGGAAGGUUUGCAAAGAGGUAAAGAGAGCCAACCUUCCUAAAGGCAGAUGAGCACUGGUCUCUUACUGAGUUCAACUUGUUGAGAAGACCUACAGUGUUUAAACUACUUUUGUGGGGUGUUUUUUUCCCUUUUUUUUCCCUCCAGGGUUACUCCACCUUUCUGAGGAUGAGGAGAAUAUGCAGGCUUAGCUGUGACACUUAGCAGAUAAGUCAGAAAGGUGGUAAAUGCUUGGGAAGAAGAAGCUUUAAUUUGUAACUCUUAAUAAGUUUUCAGAUUAGCUUUCCCUUAAAAAAAUGGAAUGGCUUUUAAACUAAAUAUCCAUUAUAAAAUGUAUUGACAAUAACAGAAGUGAAAAUUCUGUACAUUUGAACUCUCACUAUUUGAGGAAAACUCAUGUAAAAGCAGACAUUGCAUGCAUUCACUGCAAGUGAAUAAGUAAGGAUGCUGAGAUGAAUAAAACCAGAAAGUAAUUCUUAGCCAUCAUACAAAUUCUCAACACUAUCCUUUUUAAUGAUUUCAUAAGUUCUCUGCACCUGAAAAAUAUAUAUUUUCUUUUAGUAACUAUACACUUAUUUAAUUCACCUUCCUAAUAAAUCAACACAUGUUGGGUAUUUGCUUUUCAGACUCGCUUUUCCUUAAUACUGAGGAUUGAACAAUUAAUGCUGGAGUAUUCAUUUGAAAAGCUGAGGAAGAGCAUUAAAAAUAAAAUCUAGAAUGGAUUAAACUCCUGUUUUAUUCUGUGGAAGAAUAAAGAACAACAGUACACAUAUUUAGAGUCAUAAAUGUACCAACAAUCUUAAUUGAACUAGUAUUUUUAAGCAUGUGACUGAAUCAAGUAAUGGACUGGAACAGAGCCUAUAAUCAGCAAUGAUGUAUUCAGACUCUGUUUAAAGAUAAGCAGAUGGGUAAAUUUAAACUCAGAAAAAUAGAUUUUUAGCCCAAUAAAUUUGCCUCCUGGAGUACCUUUUAUACUGCUUGGCAAUAUGUUAUUCUGGUGGGAGAGUCACACCUAUUAAUCUCAAAGUGCACUGGAUCCUCUCUUCAGGAGUAAGUUUUCUUCUGUGCAUAUUUAUAUCCUCCACAGCCUGGAUGGAGAAACUCUCACUUAUCUUGAAACAGAUGGAUAUCAAACCCAACUCUUUCUUCAGAUAAGAAUGUAUUAGGAAUUGCUCAGACGUAUCAGUGCCCUAGAUAAAAGAGAUUCAGACCUUUCCUUUUGUACUUUUCUCAUCUAGCAGAGAAGUUAUGACCUGUAAGCUCCACAGUGACCAGGCUGCUGGGGCUGACUCCCCUAAACUCCACUGUGCAGCUACAGAGUUGUCUUCUCCUGAAGACAACUUGGGGCAAGAUUCUUAUCUCAGGUGACCUGACUUGUCUUUUGGGGCAAUCCCUUUACUCACAGCUGCUGCACCCUCACACCUACUCCUGAGGCACAGACUGUACCAUCUCUUUAAAGAGGAAUUUUUUAAAAAUAGAAAUCCCUCAUUUAUAUGGAAAAGCAUUCUUUGGCUUCUCCCAAGCUUCAGACACCACCAUUCAAACCAAACCAAAUCUGACUCUAUGAGUGUUCUUUCACAAGAUGCGAGAACACGAAAGCUUUACUUUUUGACCAGCAGGUGCCAUGCUGGGAUUGUACCAAUGGUCUGCCUACACCAGUCUGCCACCUCCUCACAAGCCAGAAUCAGAAAUGUCCAGGAAAAAUGUUGGAACUGCACCACAAUGAAGUGGAACUGACCUCCUGGAGGACUUACUCUGGUUUUAAGAGUCAGUGACUCUUUGUUCAGUCAGGAGAAAAUACAAUUGGCUUUUACUUACAGUUGGAAUAGAAGUGAUAUAUUAAUACGAAGGUACUCAGAAAAGAGUGUUUAUAGUGUCAAGACCAAUUUCUAAAAAGCCUAAAUUUUCAAGGCUAUGUGAGCACAAUGGCAUGUUUCUCUUUCUGUUCAUUUGUUCUUCCCUAUGAAACAAUAACUUCCUACAGCAGCAAUCAAGAACAAGGUGAAUUUUACAUUCACCUAAACCAAACACAUUUGAGAAGAAGAAAUUAGGGAAUUUUGUUAACUUUAAUGCAAAAGAUUGUGUUUCUGAAGUCUUUAUCAUUUUAUUCCUGUAAAGGAAUUAAGAAGAUGACAUGAUUAGCAGCUUAGAAAAAUAUCUGUGGAAGUGCCAGUCACUAUAACUGUUUGAUGAACAUGAUACUUACGGAAUAGAUAAGGAGCUUUCUGAUCUGGCACUUAAAAGACUUACAACUUGCAAACACUUUGGGGAGUACCACUGAUUUAACUGGAUCUUGAACGCUGGCACAACAAACCAGUGCUGAAAACACUAAAAGUUCUGCUUGUGGAUAGCCCAGUCAUCUGAUGCUGCUUGCUUUGGGCUCAUGGUUAAUUGUUAACAUUUUGGGGACAAGCCAGUGACCCUGUGUUCUUGCUCAGGAAUGUAUGACCCAUUCACCAGCAACCAGUUUGUGCUGAAUGCCCACUAGGCUGGAAUAUAUUGGUGUUUAAAGAUGCACCCAGCUCAAACUUUUCUGUGUUGCUACUGACUUUUCAUCAGACAUCCUGCUUUAUGGAAUAUUCUCUCAUCCUUCUCUGGAGUGAUGGAGCUGAGAGGAAAGUUUUUAAAAGCUAAAGAUCACUCAAGGAGAAAUCAAAUGGCUUUUGAUUAUAAUUUCUUAUUAUGUUUAAGAAACUGCUUUAAUGAAAUCAAGAUGGAACCCUUUGGAUGCGGCAAAAUUAUGACUUUAACUUGAAAUAACAAAAGAAAUAUUUAAGAAUAAAUAAAUUAGGACAUUGUAGAAAUAUGAUUAAGACCAGUGCAACUAGUAAUAAAACUGAAAAAGAAACAUUCCAAAUUUAAUUUAUUUGUGGCUAGCAAGUUUUAAUUAAAACAAAUCCUAUUUGCUGUGUAUUUACCAAUUUAUUAUACGAGGACCAUAAAGUGGAAUUAUAUUGGAUGAUUUAUUUUGUGGCUGUUUCUCUCUGCUUCUGUGUUCAUGUCUAAAUCAUGAAGAGAAAACAAGACCACUAGCAAAAUCCAAAUAGUUUAUUUGAAACAAAAUGUGUAAUUGUUCAGAAAUAGACUAUUGACUUUCACUGGGUUAAACAGCUCAUGUACUGAUUAGGCUUGAAGCUAUAAUUGUUCUUGUCACCCAAACUCUGCUCAGUCAAUAUCUUUUUAUCAUAUACAUUUUUAAUCACAUAUUAAUAAACAAGAAGGUGUGCUUUAUUGAUGGCUGGAUUAGUUUAUUGACCAACUCAACAAUUCUCUAUAUGGUUUCUGAACACAGAAACAAGGUCAAUGUGUAAAGAUGAGGAAUAGUACUUUCACCAUCUUUAAUACACUUCAAUCUGGCGGUGUACUCCCUUUAUUACAAGUGCCGCUAUCUGUGUAAUUUCUCCAAUUCUUUUAAAAAUUAUUUCAUAUUUGAAACAAUCUCCCUGUUAAAGCACACUUUGGCUUUAGUUUCAGGAACUUUAGACUUCUAAGAGCUUCUCUAAUUUAUUAUUUAUUUGUCACCUUCACACUAAACUGCAUUAUUUUUUAAACCUUUGGGAAUUCAAGUUUUCAGAUACAUGUAGAUUCUUACCAAGUAUUCUCUAAUUGCUUCUAUUUUGGAAAAUAUUGUUGGAAAUUUUUCAUGUUCUCCUAAUAACUUUCUUCAUCCUUCUAAUCACUUCUUGUAAGUUUUCUCCUCUGUCAAUUGUUAUUGUGAGUAUUCUCCUUGAGAUCCAAGUUGGAAAUUAUGGCCUCUGAAACAGCUGUAUGAAAUUAAUGAUUAAAACAAUAAAAAAUGUGGUACUCUCA